ACUUAAAUUGAAGAGUUUGAUCAUGGCUCAGAUUGAACGCUGGCGGCAGGCCUAACACAUGCAAGUCGAGCGGUAGCACAGAGAGCUUGCUCUCGGGUGACGAGCGGCGGACGGGGGAGUAAUGUCUGGGAAACUGCCUGAUGGAGGGGGAUAACUACUGGAAACGGUAGCUAAUACCGCAUAAUGUCGCAAGACCAAAGUGGGGGACCUUCGGGCCUCAUGCCAUCAGAUGUGCCCAGAUGGGAUUAGCUUGUAGGUGGGGUAACGGCUCACCUAGGCGACGAUCCCUAGCUGGUCUGAGAGGAUGACCAGCCACACUGGAACUGAGACACGGUCCAGACUCCUACGGGAGGCAGCAGUGGGGAAUAUUGCACAAUGGGCGCAAGCCUGAUGCAGCCAUGCCGCGUGUGUGAAGAAGGCCUUCGGGUUGUAAAGCACUUUCAGCGGGGAGGAAGGCGGUGAGGUUAAUAACCUCAUCGAUUGACGUUACCCGCAGAAGAAGCACCGGCUAACUCCGUGCCAGCAGCCGCGGUAAUACGGAGGGUGCAAGCGUUAAUCGGAAUUA
RNAcentral lists this ribosomal RNA (565 nucleotides) under Klebsiella pneumoniae. Its description in RNAcentral is "bacterial SSU rRNA". It matches the Rfam family "Bacterial small subunit ribosomal RNA", at positions 1 to 553 of the family's 1533-position model. Lineage: Bacteria; Pseudomonadati; Pseudomonadota; Gammaproteobacteria; Enterobacterales; Enterobacteriaceae. The record is from RNAcentral.